UGAGUAACCUGCCCUUAACUCUGGGAUAAGCCUGGGAAACUGGGUCUAAUACCGGAUAUGACUCCUCAUCGCAUGGUGGGGGGUGGAAAGCUUUAUUGUGGUUUUGGAUGGACUCGCGGCCUAUCAGCUUGUUGGUGAGGUAAUGGCUCACCAAGGCGACGACGGGUAGCCGGCCUGAGAGGGUGACCGGCCACACUGGGACUGAGACACGGCCCAGACCUCCGUACGGGGAGGCAG
RNAcentral lists this ribosomal RNA (237 nucleotides) under uncultured bacterium. RNAcentral's name for it is "partial 16S ribosomal RNA". It matches the Rfam family "Bacterial small subunit ribosomal RNA", at positions 118 to 351 of the family's 1533-position model. The record is from RNAcentral.